Molecule: ribosomal RNA, 694 nt
Filed under: Streptomyces sp.
Lineage: Bacteria; Bacillati; Actinomycetota; Actinomycetes; Kitasatosporales; Streptomycetaceae
Description: bacterial SSU rRNA
Rfam family: Bacterial small subunit ribosomal RNA
Source: RNAcentral
GGCUCGUAGGAGGCGUGCUUACACAUGCAAGUCGAACCGAUGAACCCGCUGUUCGGGCGGGGAUUAGUCGGCGAACGGGUGAGUAACACGUGGGCAAUCUGCCCUGCACUCUGGGACAAGCCCUGGAAACGGGGUCUAAUACCGGAUAUGACUGUCCGCCGCAUGGUGGAUGGUGUAAAGCUCCGGCGGUGCAGGAUGAGCCCGCGGCCUAUCAGCUUGUUGGUGAGGUAGUGGCUCACCAAGGCGACGACGGGUAGCCGGCCUGAGAGGGCGACCGGCCACACUGGGACUGAGACACGGCCCAGACUCCUACGGGAGGCAGCAGUGGGGAAUAUUGCACAAUGGGCGAAAGCCUGAUGCAGCGACGCCGCGUGAGGGAUGACGGCCUUCGGGUUGUAAACCUCUUUCAGCAGGGAAGAAGCGAGAGUGACGGUACCUGCAGAAGAAGCGCCGGCUAACUACGUGCCAGCAGCCGCGGUAAUACGUAGGGCGCAAGCGUUGUCCGGAAUUAUUGGGCGUAAAGAGCUCGUAGGCGGCUUGUCACGUCGGUUGUGAAAGCCCGGGGCUUAACCCCGGGUCUGCAGUCGAUACGGGCAGGCUAGAGUUCGGUAGGGGAGAUCGGAAUUCCUGGUGUAGCGGUGAAAUGCGCAGAUAUCAGGAGGAACACCGGUGGCGAAAGCGGGAUCUCUGGGCC